Long non-coding RNA from Xenia sp. Carnegie-2017, 662 nucleotides. RefSeq lists it as uncharacterized. The transcript has 2 exons. The record is from RefSeq and is a predicted model, not a curated record. NCBI's taxonomy places the organism in Eukaryota, Metazoa, Cnidaria, Anthozoa, Malacalcyonacea, Xeniidae.
UGUAUUUUUGUCAUUGAUGGUGUCAUUAGUAUUGUCAGGUUCUCUCAAUAUGCGUUUGUUAUGGUUAUUAAUAAUAUGUUCCAUAUUGUUCAUGCAGCUGUAACUUAAUUUAAUUGUGUUGCGGUUAAAUAGUUUUCUGAGUUUGUGGUCUAUGGGAAAGUGCUUGUCAAUUAGUGAAAUGAAUUUGUAGCCGAUGUUUGUGCUGACGUUCUUGCUGUAUGGUGGGUUGUACCAGAGUAUGUUAUUUCUAAGUCUGUUUUUCCGUUUCGUAGUAGCGUUUGGGUCAUAUUUCAGCGUGUAAUGAUAUCCAUUUUCGUCAAGUGCUUUUUGGUAUGGAGGGAUUGCUUGGUCGAAUGAUGCUCUGUCGGAUGAUAAGGAUGAAAGGCGUUUGUUAAUGGUAUCGGGUAUGUUCUUUGUAAUGCUUGGAGGAUGGUUGCUUUCGUGGUGGAUGUAUUGCAAAGAGGUGUUGGGCUUAGUGUAAGGUCGAUGGGAAGAAUUCUUUAGAUCGAACGUGUUGCUUUAGUAAUGGCUAGUCCGUCGUCGCGAUAGAGUCCUAUGUUAGUAAUGAUGUGUUGCAGUUGUGAGAGUAGAUAGCUUCCUACGAGUUCGCAUGUUUCGGCGCCGUCGAAGCUGCCCAUUGUCACGUCGAAUGUGGAGUUGUA